GGUAAUCGUUUGGAUCUAAGGGGGCUGACAGCUCUACAUGCAUCAUCAGAAGAAGUUGCUGAGUGGAUUAAUAAAGAUAAUCAUGGGAAAGCAGUUGUUCCUUCUCAUUCUAGUGAUGGUGAAAAUCGCUUGCUUCAAUCUCAUGAAGCCUCCAGUUCUGGUAGUGGUGCUGAUAACCCUACAUCAAGUAGUGGUAAAAAGGCUAAAUACACAUUUAUCUGUGAAUGCUUCUUUAUGACUGCAAGAGUGCUCAACUUGGGUCUCUUAAAAGCAUUUUCGGACUUUAAGCAUCUAGUUCAGGACAUUUCAAGGUGUGAAGACAGUCUCUCGACGCUGAAGGCCAUGCAAGAGCAGUCACCUUCUCCACAACUGCAGCUGGAUAUUGCUCGCCUUGAGAAAGAUUUAGAGUUGUAUUCACAAGAAAAGCUUUGCUAUGAAGCUCAGAUACUAAGGGAUGAAGCACUUAUUCAGCGGGCACUUUCUUUCUACCGGUUAAUCGUGGUUUGGUUGGUUGGUCUGGUUGGUGGAUUUAAAAUGCCUCUGCCACCAACAUGCCCUAUGGAGUUUGCAUCCUUGCCUGAACAUUUUGUGGAUGAUGCCAUGGAAUUGCUUAUAUUUGCUUCCCGG
RNAcentral lists this unclassified non-coding RNA (627 nucleotides) under Hevea brasiliensis (rubber tree). The record is from RNAcentral. Lineage: Eukaryota; Viridiplantae; Streptophyta; Magnoliopsida; Malpighiales; Euphorbiaceae.